CAUGCAGGUGGUUUGUUAAGUCAGAUGUGAAAGCCCGGGGCUCAACCUCGGAAUAGCAUUUGAAACUGGCAGGCUAGAGUACUGUAGAGGGGGGUAGAAUUUCAGGUGUAGCGGUGAAAUGCGUAGAGAUCUGAAGGAAUACCGGUGGCGAAGGCGGCCCCCUGGACAGAUACUGACACUCAGAUGCGAAAGCGUGGGGAGCAAACA
RNAcentral lists this ribosomal RNA (207 nucleotides) under uncultured bacterium. Its description in RNAcentral is "partial 16S ribosomal RNA". It matches the Rfam family "Bacterial small subunit ribosomal RNA", at positions 568 to 774 of the family's 1533-position model. The record is from RNAcentral.